GGCUGUCAGUAAGAUGGGGGGGGGUUUGCAGGACCUGGCAGCUUGGUCCUCUAAGAGGCCGUCAGUAGGAUGGGGGGUCUGCUGCUAGGUCCUAAGAGGCUCAGUAGGAGGGGGGGGGUGGUCUGCUGCUAGGUCCUAAGAGGCUCAGUAGGAGGGGGAGGGGGGGGGGGGUCUGCUGCUAGGUCCUCUAAGAGGCGGUCAUGGUACCAUUCCUCCUGGACAGGCUGUCAAACGGCAGGCCCACCUCCCUCUCCUCCAGGUUCAUGUCUGUGGAGUCAUUGCGCAGC
Molecule: long non-coding RNA, 287 nt
Organism: Oncorhynchus keta (chum salmon)
Lineage: Eukaryota; Metazoa; Chordata; Actinopteri; Salmoniformes; Salmonidae
Exons: 3
Source: RefSeq, a predicted model, not a curated record